GGAUAUAGCUCAGUUGGUAGAGUGCUUGCUUUGCAUGAACAAGGCCUUGGGUUCAAUUUCCAACACCA
RNAcentral lists this transfer RNA (68 nucleotides) under Marmota monax (woodchuck). RNAcentral's name for it is "tRNA.Ala". The record is from RNAcentral. Lineage: Eukaryota; Metazoa; Chordata; Mammalia; Rodentia; Sciuridae.